RNAcentral lists this ribosomal RNA (1458 nucleotides) under Verrucaria alpicola. RNAcentral describes it as "eukaryotic LSU rRNA". It matches the Rfam family "Eukaryotic large subunit ribosomal RNA", at positions 1 to 1405 of the family's 3401-position model. The record is from RNAcentral. Lineage: Eukaryota; Fungi; Ascomycota; Eurotiomycetes; Verrucariales; Verrucariaceae.
UUGACCUCGGAUCAGGUAGGGAUACCCGCUGAACUUAAGCAUAUCAAUAAGCGGAGGAAAAGAAACCAACAGGGAUUGCCUCAGUAACGGCGAGUGAAGCGGCAACAGCUCAAAUUUGAAAUCUGGCCCCCCUCGGGGGUCCGAGUUGUAAUUUGUAGAGGAUGUUUCGGGCAAGGCGGCGGUCUAAUUCGCUAGGAACAGCGGGUCAGAGAGGGUGAGAACCCCGUCUAGGACCGCACGCCGCGUCCAUGUGAAGCUCCUUCGACGAGUCGAGUUGUUUGGGAAUGCAGCUCUAAAUGGGUGGUAAAUUUCAUCUAAAGCUAAAUAUUGGCCAGAGACCGAUAGCGCACAAGUAGAGUGAUCGAAAGAUGAAAAGCACUUUGAAAAGAGAGUUAAACAGUAUGUGAAAUUGUUGAAAGGGAAGCGCUUGCAAUCAGACUUGUGGCCGACGGUUCCCCCGGCCCUCGUGGCCGGGCUACUCCGUCGUGUCCAGGCCAACAUCGGUCUGGGUGGCCGGUCAAAGACCCCGGGAAUGUAUCAACCUCCGGGUCGACUUAUAGCCCGGGGUGGAAUGCGGCCCACCCGGACCGAGGAACGCGCUUCGGCUCGGAUGUUGGCGUAAUGGUUGCAAGCGGCCCGUCUUGAAACACGGACCAAGGAGUCUAACAUCUAUGCGAGUGUUUGGGUGUCAAACCCCUACGCGGAAUGAAAGUGAACGGAGGUAAGAACCCGCAAGGGCGCAUUAUCGACCGAUCCUGAUGUCUUCGGAUGGAUUUGAGUAAGAGCAUAGCUGUUGGGACCCGAAAGAUGGUGAACUAUGCCUGAAUAGGGUGAAGCCAGAGGAAACUCUGGUGGAGGCUCGCAGCGGUUCUGACGUGCAAAUCGAUCGUCAAAUUUGGGCAUAGGGGCGAAAGUAAGCAUCUCUUUUUUCUUCUCCCCUGUAUUGAUAAAUAAUCACGGAAGCUAACGGCUUCUUCUCUAGGACUAAUCGAACCAUCUGGUAGCUGGUUCCUGUCGAAGUUUCCCUCAGGAUAGCAGUAACGUUUUCAGUUUUAUGAGGUAAAGCGAAUGAUUAGAGGCCUUGGGGUUGCAACAACCUUAACCUAUUCUCAAACUUUAAAUAUGUAAGAAGUCCUUGUUUCUUAACUGAACGUGGACAUUUGAAUGUAUCGUUACUAGUGGGCCAUUUUUGGUAAGCAGAACUGGCGAUGCGGGAUGAACCGAACGUGAGGUUAAGGUGCCGGAAUGCACGCUCAUCAGACACCACAAAAGGUGUCAAUGCAUCCAGACAGCCGGACGGUGGCCAUGGAAGUCGGAAUCCGCUUAGGAGUGUGUAACAACUCACCGGCCGAAUGCAUUGGCCCUGAAAAUGGAUGGCGCUUAAGCGUGCUACCUAUACCUCGCCGUUGGGGUUGAAAUGAUGCCCCAACGAGUAGGCAGGCGUGGGGGUUUGUGACG